AUGCUCAAGAAGACUGCUCAAAGGAGGACAGUUUGUAGGAUAGUUUGUGUGACAAUGCGAGCACUACCUGUUUGUAUAAAUGCUGAAGGAGAAAACUGUUCGGAGAAGGACAUGUGUGAGAGAGAGAGAGGGAAGGAGAAACAGGGGCCGGGAGUAAGAGCUCAAGAGCAAGGAGAACCACAUGUUGUCCCUUUGUCAUCGACACCAUCCUGCCGUUGCAGGCUUGUCCCGGUGGCCUUUCGCUUGAUGCAGAUCCAGAAGGGGAGCCUUGGCGCAGUGGUAAAGUUGCUGCCUUGUGACCAUGAGGUCAUGGGUUCAAGUCCUGGAAACAGCCUCUUACAGAAAUGUAGGGAAAGGCUGCGUACUAUAGACCCAAAGUGGUCGGACCCUUCCCUGGACCCUGCGCAAGCGGGAGCUACAUGCACCAGGUUGCCCUUUUUUUAUAUAGAUGCAGAUCCGAGUUGCCAUAAUGGAAUAUGGAUGGACAACACAAAAUAG
Molecule: ribosomal RNA, 498 nt
Filed under: Triticum aestivum (bread wheat)
Lineage: Eukaryota; Viridiplantae; Streptophyta; Magnoliopsida; Poales; Poaceae
Description: partial small subunit ribosomal RNA
Source: RNAcentral